CCUACGGGUGGCAGCAGUGGGGAAUAUUGCACAAUGGGGGAAACCCUGAUGCAGCGACGCCGCGUGAGUGAAGAAGUAUCUCGGUACGUAAAGCUCUAUCAGCAGGGAAGAAAAUGACGGUACCUGACUAAGAAGCCCCGGCUAACUACGUGCCAGCAGCCGCGGUAAUACGUAGGGGGCAAGCGUUAUCCGGAUUUACUGGGUGUAAAGGGAGCGUAGACGGCAGGACAAGUCUGGAGUGAAAUCCCGGGGCUUAACCGCGGAACUGCUUUGGAAACUGUGCGGCUGGAGUGCAGGCGUGGUAAGCGGAAUUCCUGGUGUAGCGGUGAAAUGCUUAGAUAUUAGGAAGAACACCGGUUGCGAAGGCGGCUUACUAGACUGUAACUGACGUUGAGGCUCGAAAGCGUGGGGAGCAAACAGGAUUAGAUACCCGUGUAGUC
RNAcentral lists this ribosomal RNA (440 nucleotides) under uncultured bacterium. Its description in RNAcentral is "partial 16S ribosomal RNA". It matches the Rfam family "Bacterial small subunit ribosomal RNA", at positions 338 to 795 of the family's 1533-position model. The record is from RNAcentral.